UGCCUAGGAAGUCUGCCUAGUGGUGGGGAUAACGUUCGGAAACGACGCUAAUACCCGCAUACGUCCUACGGGNGAAAGCGGGGAUCUCGGACCUCGCGCCAUUAGAUGAGCCGUAGGUCGGAUUAGCUAGUUGGUGAGGUAAUGGCUCACCAAGGCGACGAUCUGUAGCUGGUCUGAGAGGACGACCAGCCACACUGGGACUGAGACACGACCCAGACUCCUACGGGAGGCAGCAGUGGGAAUUUUGGACAAUGGGCGCAAGCCUGAUCCAGCAAUGCCGCGUGCAGGAUGAAGGCCUUCGGGUUGUAAACUGCUUUGUACGGAACGAAACGGUGAGCUCUAAUACAGUUUGCUAAUGACGGUACCGUAAGAAUAAGCACCGGCUAACUACGUG
RNAcentral lists this ribosomal RNA (394 nucleotides) under uncultured bacterium. RNAcentral's name for it is "bacterial SSU rRNA". It matches the Rfam family "Bacterial small subunit ribosomal RNA", at positions 114 to 507 of the family's 1533-position model. The record is from RNAcentral.